This is a long non-coding RNA of Phyllopteryx taeniolatus (common seadragon), 1032 nucleotides long. RefSeq lists it as uncharacterized. The transcript is spliced from 2 exons. NCBI's taxonomy places the organism in Eukaryota, Metazoa, Chordata, Actinopteri, Syngnathiformes, Syngnathidae. The record is from RefSeq and is a predicted model, not a curated record.
GGGACGAGGGAGCGUGGGUGCUCCCGCACACCUGGGACACGGUUCUUCAAUGACGGGCGGGGGGGGUCGGGUCAGGGAACUCUACUUGGGUUUCCUGACCCAUUCGGCUGUUUUUAGACGACUCGCGCCAGGCAGCAGUGACAGCCGCCACUAUCAGCAAGAAUAUUCAGGCUGUAACUGCAACGCACCGUGUCUGCGACGGACUGACGGAAAUGUGUCAUUUCAAAUGCGACUCCGUUCUGACGUGGACAAAAGGCACCUGUGACUUUUCUUUUCUUUUACUUCUUAUGAGCAGAAGUAGCCCGAUGUUGUACUUGAUUACUGUUACUUGACAACAGUAUGACUCGAGGAAAUGUCAAAAGUUGUCAUCCAAAUAAUGACUUGCUAAAGAGCAAGUCCUCACUGACAAAACUAUUCAAGUACUGCGUAACUAGUGAGUCUCUUCGCAUUUAUUUAUUCCAUCAGAGCAUGAACGUCAAAUAAAAUAAGGGCAAAUUCAGAUAUCGCUGAACAAUAACACUUCAUCUCAAACAUAAGAACACAAUCAAAUAUUUGUAAAAUAAUGAGGCAAAUCCAACAAAGUUGGUUGUUUCUAAUUGGGCCAAUGAUACACUACUCGUGCACUCCCUGUAGUCGUCUCGCCACGCUGCGCCAUUUGCAUAUCUGCUGUUGACCGAUACUGGCAACAUUUGCACAAUCGACAUCGUCCCAGAUGAUCGCGCAACUCGUCACUUUAAACCGCCUGCACUCCUUCAAGUCUCCACGCUCCUUGCACCGGACUCUUGCAAUAUGAGUCAGUCAGUGCUAGAGGAGUCUGCCUCUUUUGCACAAUUGUCAAAAAAUCAAGAAAAAAUGUACCGGCAUUACCAGACAACUAUUAACCCUUCAUUGCUCAGCGACUGUUUUUCUGUCUCCAAAGCGUUCUCUGCCAAUCGACCGUCUGUGGUCGUACUCGAGCGGCUCCGACGACCGGAGACAAAUUCCUUGCGUGUUUUGGACAUACUUGGCAAAUAAAGAUGAUUGUGAUUGUGA